RNAcentral lists this ribosomal RNA (245 nucleotides) under uncultured bacterium. Its description in RNAcentral is "partial 16S ribosomal RNA". It matches the Rfam family "Bacterial small subunit ribosomal RNA", at positions 16 to 253 of the family's 1533-position model. The record is from RNAcentral.
GUUCUGGCUCAGGAUGAACGCUAGCUACAGGCUUAACACAUGCAAGUCGAGGGGCAGCAUGAACUUAGCUUGCUAAGUUUGAUGGCGACCGGCGCACGGGUGAGUAACACGUAUCCAACCUGCCGAUGACUCGGGGAUAGCCUUUCGAAAGAAAGAUUAAUACCCGAUGGCAUAGUUCUUCCGCAUGGUAGAACUAUUAAAGAAUUUCGGUCAUCGAUGGGGAUGCGUUCCAUUAGGUUGUUGGG